CGUAGAUAGUAGGUGGGGUAAUGGCUCACCUAGGCGACGAUCCCUAGCUGGUCUGAGAGGAUGACCAGCCACACUGGAAAGUUCUCUGAGACACGGUCCAGACUCCUACGGGAGGCAGCAGUGGGGAAUAUUGCACAAUGGGCGCAAGCCUGAUGCAGCCAUGCCGGAAGCCGUGUGUGAAGGGCAAGGCCUUCGGGUUGUAAAGCACUUUCAGCGAGGAGGAAGGUGGUGAGCUUAAUACGUUCAUCAAUUGACGUUACUCGCAGAAGAAGCACCGGCUAACUCCGUGCCAGCAGCCGCGGUAAUACGGAGGGUGCAAGCGUUAAUCGCUGUUUGAAUUACUGGGCGUGCACCAAAGCGCACGCAGCUGCGGUUUGUUAAGUCAGAUGUGAAAUCCCCGGGCUCAACCUGGGAACUGCAUUUGAAACUGGCAAGCUAGAGUCUCGUAGAGCUUUGGGGGUAGAAUUCCAGGUGUAGCGGUGAAAUGCGUAGAUUGAUCUGGAGGAAUACCGGUGGCGA
Molecule: ribosomal RNA, 519 nt
Filed under: Serratia marcescens
Lineage: Bacteria; Pseudomonadati; Pseudomonadota; Gammaproteobacteria; Enterobacterales; Yersiniaceae
Description: bacterial SSU rRNA
Rfam family: Bacterial small subunit ribosomal RNA
Source: RNAcentral